RNAcentral lists this unclassified non-coding RNA (350 nucleotides) under soil metagenome. RNAcentral's name for it is "partial contains 5.8S ribosomal RNA, internal transcribed spacer 2, and large subunit ribosomal RNA". The stretch from base 1 to 120 matches the Rfam family "5.8S ribosomal RNA", at positions 35 to 154 of the family's 154-position model. The record is from RNAcentral.
GAUGAAGAACGUAGCGAAAUGCGAUAAGUAAUGUGAAUUGCAGAAUUCAGUGAAUCAUCGAAUCUUUGAACGCACAUUGCGCCCGCCAGUAUUCUGGCGGGCAUGCCUGUUUGAGCGUCAUUUCAACCCUCAAGCCCAGCUUGGUGUUGGGGAUCGGCACAGGCGCCCUCGGGCGCCCGCCGUCCCCUAAAUCUAGUGGCGGUCCCGCUGCAGCCUCCUCUGCGUAGUAGUUUUCUCCUCGCAAGGGCAGCUCGGUGGCGACCUCGCCGUAAAACCCCCAACUUCUGAAAGGUUGACCUCGAAUCAGGUAGGAAUACCCGCUGAACUUAAGCAUAUCAAUAAGCGGAGGA